AGAGUUUGAUCCUGGCUCAGAUUGAACGCUGGCGGCAUGCCUUACACAUGCAAGUCGAACGGCAGCACGAGAGCUUGCUCUUGGUGGCGAGUGGCGAACGGGUGAGUAAUAUAUCGGAACGUACCCUAGAGUGGGGGAUAACGUAGCGAAAGUUACGCUAAUACCGCAUACGAUCUACGGAUGAAAGUGGGGGAUCGCAAGACCUCAUGCUCAUGGAGCGGCCGAUAUCUGAUAGCUAGUUGGUGGGGUAAAAGCUCACCAAGGCGACGAUCAGUAGCUGGUCUGAGAGGACGACCAGCCACACUGGAACUGAGACACGGUCCAGACUCCUACGGGAGGCAGCAGUGGGGAAUUUUGGACAAUGGGCGCAAGCCUGAUCCAGCAAUGCCGCGUGAGUGAAGAAGGCCUUCGGGUUGUAAAGCUCUUUUGUCAGGGAAGAAACGGUGGACUCUAAUACAGAUCACUAAUGACGGUACCCGAAGAAUAAGCACCGGCUAACUACGUGCCAGCAGCCGCGGUAAUACGUAGGGUGCAAGCGUUAAUCGGAAUUACUGGGCGUAAAGCGUGCGCAGGCGGUUGUGCAAGACAGAUGUGAAAUCCCCGGGCUCAACCUGGGAAUUGCAUUUGUGACUGCACGGCUAGAGUGUGUCAGAGGGGGGUAGAAUUCCACGUGUAGCAGUGAAAUGCGUAGAGAUGUGGAGGAAUACCGAUGGCGAAGGCAGCCUCCUGGGAUAACACUGACGCUCAUGCACGAAAGCGUGGGGAGCAAACAGGAUUAGAUACCCUGGUAGUCCACGCCCUAAACGAUGUCUACUAGUUGUCGGGUCUUAAUUGACUUGGUAACGCAGCUAACGCGUGAGGUAGACCGCCUGGGGAGUACGGUCGCAAGAUUAAAACUCAAAGGAAUUGACGGGGACCCGCACAAGCGGUGGAUGAUGUGGAUUAAUUCGAUGCAACGCGAAAAACCUUACCUACCCUUGACAUGUCUGGAAUCCUUGAGAGAUCAGGGAGUGCUCGAAAGAGAAUCAGAACACAGGUGCUGCAUGGCUGUCGUCAGCUCGUGUCGUGAGAUGUUGGGUUAAGUCCCGCAACGAGCGCAACCCUUGUCAUUAGUUGCUACGAAAGGGCACUCUAAGGAGACUGCCGGUGACAAACCGGAGGAAGGUGGGGAUGACGUCAAGUCCUCAUGGCCCUUAUGGGUAGGGCUUCACACGUCAUACAAUGGUACAUACAGAGGGCCGCCAACCCGCGAGGGGGAGCUAAUCCCAGAAAGUGUAUCGUAGUCCGGAUUGUAGUCUGCAACUCGACUACAUGAAGUUGGAAUCGCUAGUAAUCGCGGAUCAGCAUGUCGCGGUGAAUACGUUCCCGGGUCUUGUACACACCGCCCGUCACACCAUGGGAGCGGGUUUCACCAGAAGUGGGUAGCCUAACCGCAAGGAGGGCGCUCACCACGGUGGGAUUCGUGACUGGGGUGAAGUCGUAACAAGGUA
RNAcentral lists this ribosomal RNA (1490 nucleotides) under metagenome. RNAcentral describes it as "bacterial SSU rRNA". It matches the Rfam family "Bacterial small subunit ribosomal RNA". The record is from RNAcentral.